CAUUCAGUGCUUCAUGCAAGAUGGAUCUGCAAGUGUCAGUUUUUCUUCUUUUUGUCGCCUUUACUUCAGGACACUCUCUCAGCUGUUACCAGUGUGGCAGUGUGAUGGGUGUAUGUAUAUUUCCAUCAGAAAUAACCUGUCCCAGUGGAAAGUCUAUGUGUGAGAGUGUCACAUUGGUCAGCAACCUUGGUCUUAAAAUGAAGGGUAAAGAUUGUUCUGCUGAUUGUGAAGUUGGGACCAUAAACUUUGGCGUUUCACAGAUGUCUUCUACAUGCUGUAACAGUGACCGGUGCAACAAAGAAGAUG
This is a non-coding RNA of Danio rerio (zebrafish), 306 nucleotides long. Lineage: Eukaryota; Metazoa; Chordata; Actinopteri; Cypriniformes; Danionidae. The record is from RefSeq and is a predicted model, not a curated record.